This 222-nucleotide non-coding RNA is filed under the name human gut metagenome. Its description in RNAcentral is "raiA RNA". It matches the Rfam family "raiA RNA". The record is from RNAcentral.
GCUUAGGUCCGUGGUUGGAAGUCGAUGCCAGUUGCAGGCAAAACGAUCCACGUAAGGAGUCCAAAGAGGCUCUGAUCAUGGUGCAGCUUAGAGGUAAGACCUGCCGGGAUUUAUUUGUACAUAAUUGAUGUGAUACCCGAGAGAUUUAGUAGUGAGGGAAGGACUUUCUAGUAGCGAACUUUCCAGCAGGCGAGUGUGGGGUCAAAAACCAGGUCGGCUAGG